AGUGAACGCUGGCGGUAGGCCUAACACAUGCAAGUCGAACGGCAGCACAGUAAGAGCUUGCUCUUACGGGUGGCGAGUGGCGGACGGGUGAGGAAUACAUCGGAAUCUACCUUUUCGUGGGGGAUAACGUAGGGAAACUUACGCUAAUACCGCAUACGACCUACGGGUGAAAGCAGGGGAUCUUCGGACCUUGCGCGAUUGAAUGAGCCGAUGUCGGAUUAGCUAGUUGGCGGGGUAAAGGCCCACCAAGGCGACGAUCCGUAGCUGGUCCGAGAGGAUGAUCAGCCACACUGGAACUGAGACACGGUCCAGACUCCUACGGGAGGCAGCAGUGGGGAAUAUUGGACAAUGGGCGCAAGCCUGAUCCAGCCAUACCGCGUGGGUGAAGAAGGCCUUCGGGUUGUAAAGCCCUUUUGUUGGGAAAGAAAAGCAGCAGGUUAAUACCCCGCUGUUCUGACGGUACCCAAAGAAUAAGCACCGGCUAACUUCGUG
This 492-nucleotide ribosomal RNA is filed under the name uncultured bacterium. Its description in RNAcentral is "partial 16S ribosomal RNA". It matches the Rfam family "Bacterial small subunit ribosomal RNA", at positions 29 to 507 of the family's 1533-position model. The record is from RNAcentral.